GUCUCGUGUUUUUCAUUUCACACA
RNAcentral lists this non-coding RNA (24 nucleotides) under Arabidopsis thaliana (thale cress). Lineage: Eukaryota; Viridiplantae; Streptophyta; Magnoliopsida; Brassicales; Brassicaceae. The record is from RNAcentral.